Molecule: long non-coding RNA, 323 nt
Organism: Mytilus trossulus (common blue mussel)
Lineage: Eukaryota; Metazoa; Mollusca; Bivalvia; Mytilida; Mytilidae
Exons: 3
Source: RefSeq, a predicted model, not a curated record
UCUUUUAUUAUUUAAUCAGAAAUAAAUUGCGGUCAAGUGACCUCACACGACUUUUCUUAUCCUCGUGUUUGGACAAUAUUUUUUGAAGUGUUUCGUGAAUUUGGAUUAUUAAUUUCGAUGUGGUUUUAAAAGCUUGGAAUAAUAUUGCGUAAAGGUUGCUGUAGGCCAUUAGCAUUGACCGUACAGAUGUGCAAAUAGUUUUUCAUGGUGGUUUAUAGUUGGAUAUUUUAAAUUUCAUACAGUAGCAUGGAUAAAACUUUCAUGAAGAACAGACCAUUUACAAUCUUCAUUAUUGGAAUUGAUUAGACUAUUUGUCAGUCUGA